AGAGUUUGAUCAUGGCUCAGGACGAACGCUGGCGGCGUGCUUAACACAUGCAAGUCGAGCGGAAAGGCCCUUCGGGGUACUCGAGCGGCGAACGGGUGAGUAACACGUGAGCAAUCUGCCCUUAGCUUCGGGAUAGCUCCGGGAAACCGGAAUUAAUACCGGAUAUGACUAUGGCCGACAUCAGCCAUGGUGGAAAGUUUUUCGGCUAGGGAUGAGCUCGCGGCCUAUCAGCUAGUUGGUGGGGUAACGGCCUACCAAGGCGACGACGGGUAGCCGGCCUGAGAGGGCGACCGGCCACACUGGGACUGAGACACGGCCCAGACUCCUACGGGAGGCAGCAGUGGGGAAUAUUGCGCAAUGGGCGAAAGCCUGACGCAGCGACGCCGCGUGGGGGAUGAAGGCCUUCGGGUUGUAAACCCCUUUCAGCAGGGACGAAGCGAAAGUGACGGUACCUGCAGAAGAAGCGCCGGCUAACUACGUGCCAGCAGCCGCGGUAACACGUAGGGCGCAAGCGUUGUCCGGAAUUAUUGGGCGUAAAGAGCUCGUAGGCGGUCUGCCACGUCCGCUGUGAAAACCUAGGGCUUAACCCUGGGCUUGCAGUAGAUACGGGCAGACUAGAGGUAGGUAGGGGAGAAUGGAAUUCCCGGUGUAGCGGUGAAAUGCGCAGAUAUCGGGAGGAACACCGGUGGCGAAGGCGGUUCUCUGGGCCUUACCUGACGCUGAGGAGCGAAAGCGUGGGGAGCAAACAGGAUUAGAUACCCCCGUAGUCC
RNAcentral lists this ribosomal RNA (770 nucleotides) under uncultured bacterium. RNAcentral describes it as "bacterial SSU rRNA". It matches the Rfam family "Bacterial small subunit ribosomal RNA", at positions 8 to 796 of the family's 1533-position model. The record is from RNAcentral.